Pelobates cultripes (western spadefoot toad) is the source of this 248-nucleotide non-coding RNA. Lineage: Eukaryota; Metazoa; Chordata; Amphibia; Anura; Pelobatidae. The record is from the annotation of a GenBank genome assembly.
UGUUAAUAAAUGCUGUGGCCUGUUUUCUCCAAGAAGUUGUCUGUCGUUAUUUGAAGGGGUAAGUUAUGGUUUUAUGGGGGAUGAAAGGAAUGCUAUCCAAUGCCCACUAUGUACAUACAAGAACUGUUUAUGUAGAUUUUCAGUAAAGGUGAAAGUGAAACUAACAUUGUACGAGGUUUAGUUUCUGCUGCGUCACGAAAAAAGAAAGAAAAAAGAGAGCUGUUUAAAAAGCUGUCGGUUUCUUCAGA